This 253-nucleotide ribosomal RNA is filed under the name uncultured bacterium. RNAcentral describes it as "partial 16S ribosomal RNA". It matches the Rfam family "Bacterial small subunit ribosomal RNA", at positions 524 to 776 of the family's 1533-position model. The record is from RNAcentral.
UACGAAGGGUGCAAACGUUGCUCGGAAUUAUUGGGCGUAAAGCGCACGUAGGCGGCUUAGCAAGUUGGAUGUGAAAUCCCUCGGCUCAACCAAGGAAGUGCAUCCAAAACUGCUGGGCUUGAGUACUUAAGAGGAUCGCGGAAUUCCCGGUGUAGAGGUGAAAUUCGUAGAUAUCGGGAGGAACACCAGUGGCGAAGGCGAGUCCCUGGACAACUCCUGACACUGAGGCACGAAAGCUAGGGGAGCAAACAGG